UUUUUACAGUUGGCCACCAUCAUUAGCUGGUGUUCUUCUAGCAGUUGGACAUCAUCACUAGGUGGCGUUCUUUUUACAUUUGGACGUUAACACAAGACGGAUGUUUGAUCAUGUAGAAAACAAGAUUAUUUUUGUAUUAAGGAGCAUAGAAAAGGGGCAAAUUAAUUGGAACCUUUUUCCUUUUACAACUUGUAUGCCCUCAUUAUGCUGUUAAAUAAUUUUAUAGUUUUUAGAGUUUGCACUCAACUAAAUUUCUGAAGGAUGCUCCAACGGUCAAUUCCAUGAACCGUUGUUCACCAAA
Molecule: long non-coding RNA, 301 nt
Organism: Eurytemora carolleeae
Lineage: Eukaryota; Metazoa; Arthropoda; Copepoda; Calanoida; Temoridae
Exons: 2
Source: RefSeq, a predicted model, not a curated record